Molecule: ribosomal RNA, 738 nt
Filed under: Sphingomonadaceae bacterium FN0104
Lineage: Bacteria; Pseudomonadati; Pseudomonadota; Alphaproteobacteria; Sphingomonadales; Sphingomonadaceae
Description: bacterial SSU rRNA
Rfam family: Bacterial small subunit ribosomal RNA
Source: RNAcentral
CGAGCGAGCUCUUCUGACCUAGCUGCCGCACGGGUGCGUAACGCGUGGGAAUCUGCCCUCUGGUUCGGAAUAACUCGGGGAAACUUGACCUAAUACCGGAUAAUGACUUCCGUCCAUACAUUUAUUGCCUGAGGAUGACCCCGCGUCCGAUUACCUAUUUGGUGGGGUAAAGGCCUACCAAGGCGACGAUCCGUAACUGGUCUGAGAGGAUGAUCACCCACACUGGGACUGAAACACGGCCCAGACUCCUACGGGAGGCACCAGUGGGGAAUAUUGGACAAUGGGCGAAAGCCUGAUCCAGCAAUGCCGCGUGAAUGAUGAAGGCCUUAGGGUUGUAAGGCUCUUUUACCCGGUAUGAUUAUGACAGUACCGGGAGAAUAAGCCCCGGCUAACUCCGUGCCAGCUUCCGCGGUAAUACUGAGGGGGCUAGCGUUGUUCGGAAUUACUGGUCGUAAAGCGCGCGUAAGCGGCUUUGUAAGUUAGAGGUGAAAGCCCGGAGCUCAGCUUCGGAAUAGCCUUUAACACUGCAUCUCUAGAAUCGUGGAGAGGUGAGUGGAAUUCCAAGUGUAGAGGUGAAAUUCUGAGAUAUUCGGAAGAACACCAGUGGCAAAUGCGACUCACUGGACACAUAUUGACGCUGAGGUGCGAAAGCGUGAGGAGCAAACAGGAUUACAUACCCUGGUAGUCCACUCCGUAGACGAUGAUGACUAGCUGUCGGGGCUCAUAUAGCCUCGGUGG